AGCAGCCGCGGUAAUUCCAGCUCCAAUAGCGUAUAUUAAAGUUGUUGCAGUUAAAAAGCUCGUAGUUGAAUUUCGGGAUUGACACAUCGGUCGUGCCUUAAGGGGUAUGAACUGGUGUAGUCAGUUUCUCACCUUCUGGAGAACCGCGAUGUCCUUAAUUGGGUGCCGCGAGGAACCAGGACCUUUACUUUGAAAAAAUUAGAGUGUUUAAAGCAGGCAUUUUGCUUGAAUACAUUAGCAUGGAAUAAUAAAAUAGGACGGAUGGUUCUAUUUUGUUGGUUUCUAGGAUCACCGUAAUGAUUAAUAGGGAUAGUUGGGGGCAUUAGUAUUCAAUUGUCAGAGGUGAAAUUCUUGGAUUUAUUGAAGACUAACUACUGCGAAAGCAUUUGCCAAGGAUGUUUUCAUUAAUCAAGAACGAAAGUUAGGGGAUCGAAGACGAUCAGAUACCGU
Molecule: ribosomal RNA, 450 nt
Filed under: uncultured Entrophospora
Lineage: Eukaryota; Fungi; Glomeromycota; Glomeromycetes; Entrophosporales; Entrophosporaceae
Description: SSU rRNA
Rfam family: Eukaryotic small subunit ribosomal RNA
Source: RNAcentral